GAUGAACGCUAGCUACAGGCUUAACACAUGCAAGUCGAGGGGAAACGAUAUUGGAAGCCUGCUUCCGAUAGGCGUCGACCGGCGCACGGGUGAGUAACGCGUAUCCAACCUGCCCUUGUCCACCGGAUAACCCGUCGAAAGGCGGACUAACACGGUAUGCAGUCCACAGCAGGCAUCUAACGUGGACGAAAUGUAAAGGAGAAGGAUGGGGAUGCGUCUGAUUAGCUUGUUGGCGGGGUAACGGCCCACCAAGGCGACGAUCAGUAGGGGUUCUGAGAGGAAGGUCCCCCACAUUGGAACUGAGACACGGUCCAAACUCCUACGGGAGGCAGCAGUGAGGAAUAUUGGUCAAUGGACGGAAGUCUGAACCAGCCAAGUAGCGUGCAGGAUGACGGCCCUAUGGGUUGUAAACUGCUUUUAUAUGGGGAUAAAGUGAGCCACGUGUGGCUUAUUGCAGGUACCAUAUGAAUAAGGACCGGCUAAUUCCGUGCCAGCCGCCGCAGUAA
This 506-nucleotide ribosomal RNA is filed under the name uncultured bacterium. RNAcentral's name for it is "partial 16S ribosomal RNA". It matches the Rfam family "Bacterial small subunit ribosomal RNA", at positions 28 to 523 of the family's 1533-position model. The record is from RNAcentral.